Molecule: ribosomal RNA, 253 nt
Filed under: uncultured bacterium
Lineage: Bacteria
Description: partial 16S ribosomal RNA
Rfam family: Bacterial small subunit ribosomal RNA
Source: RNAcentral
UACAGAGGUCUCAAGCGUUGUUCGGAUUCAUUGGGCGUAAAGGGCGCGUAGGCGGCAAGGCAAGUCGGGUGUGAAAGCUUGGGGCUUAACCCCGAAAGGGCACUCGAAACUGCGUUGCUAGAGGGCCGGAGAGGAGAUCGGAAUUCACGGUGUAGCAGUGAAAUGCGUAGAGCUCGUGAGGAAGACCGGUGGCGAAGGCGGAUCUCUGGACGGCCCCUGACGCUGAGGCGCGUAGGCUAGGGGAGCAAACGGG